CAUGCGACACUGUUAAAUUGCGGGGAUCCCCUGAAGCUUUGUCCUACCAAGUGCUUGUGCGCGAAAGCGCCAGCAUGGCCGAGCCAAUCGCCCUGGGUAUGGUA
This 104-nucleotide ribosomal RNA is filed under the name Plasmodiophora brassicae. RNAcentral's name for it is "partial 18S ribosomal RNA". The record is from RNAcentral. Lineage: Eukaryota; Endomyxa; Phytomyxea; Plasmodiophorida; Plasmodiophoridae.